Molecule: ribosomal RNA, 290 nt
Filed under: gamma proteobacterium SCGC AAA024-I13
Lineage: Bacteria; Pseudomonadati; Pseudomonadota; Gammaproteobacteria
Description: partial 16S small subunit ribosomal RNA
Rfam family: Bacterial small subunit ribosomal RNA
Source: RNAcentral
UGGGGAAUAUUGGACAAUGGGCGCAAGCCUGAUCCAGCCAUGCCGCGUGNGUGAAGAAGGUCUUCGGAUUGUAAAGCNCUUUUGUUAGGGAGGAAGGGCAGGNGGUUAAUACCUUGNNGUACUGACGGUACCCACAGAAUAAGCACCGGCUAACUUCGUGCCAGCAGCCGCGGUAAUACGGAGGGUGCAAGCGUUACUCGGAAUUACUGGGCGUAAAGCGCGCGUAGGUGGUUGNUUAAGUNUGNUGUGAAAUCCCCGGGCUCAACCUGGGAACUGCANUGGAAACUGGC